Molecule: long non-coding RNA, 361 nt
Organism: Hibiscus syriacus
Lineage: Eukaryota; Viridiplantae; Streptophyta; Magnoliopsida; Malvales; Malvaceae
Exons: 3
Source: RefSeq, a predicted model, not a curated record
ACACCCGACGACCGCCAUUCCUUCACCGAUAAAGUCCUAAACCAACUCAAAUUCCUUAGUUUUCUCUCUAGACCACAAAUACGAGACUAAGACUCACCAAAUCGACCCCCAACUUCUAAAGCCAAUAAGUUCGACUCCAAACCCCGACAUAUUGUAAGUGUAGACUUGAACGACCAAGAGGUACAACGAGACAACUAAGGGAAACAUCAUGUGGCUUGCUCUACUAGAUCAUUGGAUUGGGCAUCCAGCUGGUUUAGGUUCUUCUUAAAGCCUAGCCCCGGACAAAAUCGAGCAUCUACAGAUUGAUCAAGUUUUUUUUUAAUAAAAUUCAAGUUUCAAGUUGAAUCAAUUUUUUUCUCUU